RNAcentral lists this small RNA (701 nucleotides) under Pan troglodytes (chimpanzee). RNAcentral's name for it is "processed transcript". Lineage: Eukaryota; Metazoa; Chordata; Mammalia; Primates; Hominidae. The record is from RNAcentral.
AAGAGUUUUUCUCUACAGUAGGAAAGGUGCGAGAUGUGAGGAUGAUUUCUGACAGAAAUUCAAGACGUUCCAAAGGAAUUGCUUAUGUGGAGUUCGUCGAUGUUAGCUCAGUGCCUCUAGCAAUAGGAUUAACUGGCCAACGAGUUUUAGGCGUGCCAAUCAUAGUACAGGCAUCACAGGCAGAAAAAAACAGAGCUGCAGCAAUGGCAAACAAUUUACAAAAGGGAAGUGCUGGACCUAUGAGGCUUUAUGUGGGCUCAUUACACUUCAACAUAACUGAAGAUAUGCUUCGUGGGAUCUUUGAGCCUUUUGGAAGAAUUGAAAGUAUCCAGCUGAUGAUGGACAGUGAAACUGGUCGAUCCAAGGGAUAUGGAUUUAUUACAUUUUCUGACUCAGAAUGUGCCAAAAAGGCUUUGGAACAACUUAAUGGAUUUGAACUAGCAGGAAGACCAAUGAAAGUUGGUCAUGUUACUGAACGUACUGAUGCUUCGAGUGCUAGUUCAUUUUUGGACAGUGAUGAACUGGAAAGGACUGGAAUUGAUUUGGGAACAACUGGUCGUCUUCAGUUAAUGGCAAGACUUGCAGAGGGGUCUGGCUCUGUUGCCCAAUUUGGAGUUGCAGUGAGCCGAGAUUGCGCCAUUGCACUCCAGCCUGUGCAACAAGAGCCUGUGCAACAAGAGCGAUACUCCAUCUCAAAAAAA